Molecule: ribosomal RNA, 497 nt
Filed under: uncultured bacterium
Lineage: Bacteria
Description: partial 16S ribosomal RNA
Rfam family: Bacterial small subunit ribosomal RNA
Source: RNAcentral
GACGAACGCUGGCGGCGUGCCUAGUACAUGCAAGUUGAGCGCUGAAGGUUGGUACUUGUACCGACUGGAUGAGCAGCGAACGGGUGAGUAACGCGUGGGGAAUCUGCCUUUGAGCGGGGGACAACAUUUGGAAACGAAUGCUAAUACCGCAUAAAAACUUUAAACACAAGUUUUAAGUUUGAAAGAUGCAAUUGCAUCACUCAAAGAUGAUCCCGCGUUGUAUUAGCUAGUUGGUGAGGUAAAGGCUCACCAAGGCGAUGAUACAUAGCCGACCUGAGAGGGGGAUCCGCCACAUUGGGACUGAGACACCGCCCAAACUCCUACGGGAGGCAGCAGUAGGGAAUCUUCGGCAAUAGACGAAAGUCUGACCGAGCAACGCCGCGUGAGUGAAGAAGGUUUUCGGAUCGUAAAACUCUGUUGGUAGAGAAGAACGUUGGUGAGAGUGGAAAGCUCAUCAAGUGACGGUAACUACCCAGAAAGGGACGGCUAACUACGUG